GUCACUCUGGAUAUCUAACUUCGGCCCGUGAUCCGGGUCAGGGACAGUGCCUGAUGGGUAGUUUAACUGGGGCGGUUGCCUCCUAAAAUGUAACGGAGGCGCCCAAAGGUUCCCUCAGCCUGGUUGGCAAUCAGGUGUCGAGUGCAAGUGCACAAGGGAGCUUGACUGUGAGAGUGGCAGCUCGAGCAGGGACGAAAGUCGGGACU
Molecule: ribosomal RNA, 206 nt
Filed under: Micrococcus luteus
Lineage: Bacteria; Bacillati; Actinomycetota; Actinomycetes; Micrococcales; Micrococcaceae
Description: partial 23S ribosomal RNA
Rfam family: Bacterial large subunit ribosomal RNA
Source: RNAcentral